Gossypium raimondii (Peruvian cotton) is the source of this 1263-nucleotide long non-coding RNA. RefSeq lists it as uncharacterized. Lineage: Eukaryota; Viridiplantae; Streptophyta; Magnoliopsida; Malvales; Malvaceae. The transcript has 2 exons. The record is from RefSeq and is a predicted model, not a curated record.
AGUAGCCCUUAAUUGUUGUCCAAAUAAGCUGUUGGUUGCGUCUAUAAUUAGUUGAUGUUUUGUUACACCACCACUACAAGUUUUUGGCUAUUUUGCUCUUAGUUGUUGCACCCUUUUUGAUGUCGAUUGACCUUGUGAAUUUAUUUGCUUCAAUUGUGAACCGUAGUUUGUUUUUAAUCGAUGUUAUAAUCACAUUCCAUGCCUCUUUAAGAUUAAUUUGGUUGUUUUAAGUUCCGAGGAAUUGCUUCCCACUUGAUUUGAGAUCGACUUUGUUAUUAUAUAAUAAUCCCACCCAGGGUCUGACCCGGUAUAAUAGAAAUAGAAAGAGACGGACUUCAGACGAUUGGGGGAUCCUCCUCAUGCCUCUACUUAGGGACCUUCUUCCCACUUUUUCUAGGGCUCCUCCGAUCUUUCCAUUUCUGUUGAUAAAUUGUAUCAACAAUUGGUACGGUGAAUGUGGAUCGAACUCGCAGCCUGAAGAGUUCACCGUUAUUUGUGAUGUUGACGUUCCCGUCAUCAUCUUCUCCAGCACUGGUAAAUUCUUUGGGUUCUUCAACUCUGGUUCAAAAGCAGUAGAUGAGAAACAUGCAGAAGAGACAUAAAUCGACUAUUUCUUGUCAGAGCUUGGGUCCAUUGAAGAAUGGUGGGGUUGUUGUAGGAAUUGAUAUUAAGAGCAGAAGGAAUUUCAACUCGGAAGAUAGCUUUAGCGACGACGACUUGAAUGUCGUAAGGCAUUAAUGAAACUGGUUGAGGAAGCAAAAUUACAAGGUGAGGGAAAUUGAGAAUCGUGAAUUCACCUUUGAUGCUUAAAGUUGUUACAUCAUGAGCGCGUACUGCCAUUUCUAGGGUAGCAAAAGUGCCAAGCCAAAUGCGGGACUUCUUGCGGGGCUCAAGAAUUUCGGACACCCAUUUGUCCCAACUCCUCAUUCUCAUCCCUCUGUAGAUCGAGUGUUUGCUGAUUGAUGAUCUUUUGGCUUUGCUGUUAUCUCCCAUGGAUUCACGACCUGUCCAGGUAAUAGUUAGAUCGAAGAGUUCGUGAUCAAGUAACAUCGCCAAAUAUUCUCUGCAAUUUGUAUUUCGUGAAGACAUUAUCACUUAGUUUUAGCCUUGGCAUUGAUCUGCCACUAUUCGUUGUGGAAAAUUGAGCUCUUUUUUGACAAUUAAUGAGCUUAUAUCAAGUAAUUUGUUAUUGUUUUAGUUAGAUUCUCAAUUUAGUACUUCUAUAUUUGAAUUCAAUAAAAUGAGCACUUUAAGUUUGUUUUA